GGAAAGCAGGGGAUCGCAAGACCUUGCGCUCUUUGAGCGGCCGAUGUCAGAUUAGCUAGUUGGUGAGGUAACGGCUUACCAAGGCGACGAUCUGUAGCGGGUCUGAGAGGAUGAUCCGCCACACUGGAACUGAGACACGGUCCAGACUCCUACGGGAGGCAGCAGUGGGGAAUUUUGGACAAUGGGGCAACCCUGAUCCAGCCAUGCCGCGUGAGUGAAGAAGGCCUUCGGGUUGUAAAGCUCUUUCGGCCGGGAAGAAAUCGCAUGGGUUAAUACCCUGUGUGGAUGACGGUACCGGCAUAAGAAGCACCGGCUAACUACGUG
Molecule: ribosomal RNA, 324 nt
Filed under: uncultured bacterium
Lineage: Bacteria
Description: bacterial SSU rRNA
Rfam family: Bacterial small subunit ribosomal RNA
Source: RNAcentral